This 333-nucleotide ribosomal RNA is filed under the name uncultured eukaryote. RNAcentral's name for it is "partial 18S ribosomal RNA". It matches the Rfam family "Eukaryotic small subunit ribosomal RNA", at positions 1470 to 1796 of the family's 1831-position model. The record is from RNAcentral.
CCCUUAGAUGUCCGGGCCGCACGCGCGUUACACUGAAGGAAUCAGCGUGGCUUUCUCCCUGACCCGAAAGGGUUGGGAAACCCGUUGAAUAUCCUUCGUGAUAGGGAUUGGGGCUUGAAAUUGUUCCCCAUGAACGAGGAAUUCCCAGUAAGCGCGAGUCAUAAGCUCGCGUUGAUUACGUCCCUGCCCUUUGUACACACCGCCCGUCGCUACUACCGAUUGAACGGUUUAGUGAGGGCCUCGGAUUGGUCUCGGCCCGCUCUUUACCGGGCGGCGCCGUUGGUCGAGAAGACGCUCGAACUUGAUCGUUUAGAGGAAGUAAAAGUCGUAACA